Molecule: unclassified non-coding RNA, 246 nt
Filed under: Hevea brasiliensis (rubber tree)
Lineage: Eukaryota; Viridiplantae; Streptophyta; Magnoliopsida; Malpighiales; Euphorbiaceae
Source: RNAcentral
AAUCUUUCUUCUUCUACCCAGAUAAUCCCCAGUCUCAGAUUUACCUAAAAAUGCCUUCAAUCCCAGAAGAGCCGCUCCUUGCCCCAAACUCAGAUCGUUUCUGUAUGUUCCCAAUUGAAUACCCACAAAUCUGGGAAAUGUAUAAGAAAGCCGAGGCCUCCUUUUGGACUGCUGAGGAGGUCGAUCUCUCUCAAGAUCUCCGCCACUGGGAAGCCCUAACACCCGAUGAAAAGCACUUUGUCACCC